GACGUAGGGUCCGAGCGUUGUCCGGAGUUACUGGGCGUAAAGCGCGCGCAGGCGGUUUCAUACGUCGGGUGUGAUAGCCCCCCGCUCAACGGGGGAGGGUCAUUCGAAACGGUGGAACUGGAGGCAGGGAGAGGUCGGUGGAAUUCCCGGUGUAGUGGUGAAAUGCGUAGAGAUCGGGAGGAACAUCAGUGGCGAAGGCGGCCGACUGGACCUGGCCUGACGCUGAGGCGCGAAAGCGUGGGGAGCAAACAGG
Molecule: unclassified non-coding RNA, 253 nt
Filed under: uncultured Thermomicrobiales bacterium
Lineage: Bacteria; Pseudomonadati; Thermomicrobiota; Thermomicrobia; Thermomicrobiales
Description: contains 16S-23S intergenic spacer region
Rfam family: Bacterial small subunit ribosomal RNA
Source: RNAcentral